GAUGAACGCUGGCGGCGUGCCUAAUACAUGCAAGUCGAGCGAACGGACGAGAAGCUUGCUUCUCUGAUGUUAGCGGCGGACGGGUGAGUAACACGUGGAUAACCUACCUAUAAGACUGGGAUAACUUCGGGAAACCGGAGCUAAUACCGGAUGAUAUUUUGAACCGCAUGGUUCAAAAGUGAAAGACGGUCUUGCUGUCACUUAUAGAUGGAUCCGCGCUGCAUUAGCUAGUUGGUAAGGUAAUGGCUUACCAAGACAACGAUGCAUAGCCGACCUGAGAGGGUGAUCGGCCACACUGGAACUGAGACACGGUCCAGACUCCUACGGGAGGCAGCAGUAGGGAAUCUUCCGCAAUGGGCGAAAGCCUGACGGAGCAACGCCGCGUGAGUGAUGAAGGUCUUCGGAUCGUAAAACUCUGUUAUUAGGGAAGAACAUAUGUGUAAGUAACUGUGCACAUCUUGACGGUACCUAAUCAGAAAGCCACGGCUAACUACGUG
Molecule: ribosomal RNA, 497 nt
Filed under: uncultured bacterium
Lineage: Bacteria
Description: partial 16S ribosomal RNA
Rfam family: Bacterial small subunit ribosomal RNA
Source: RNAcentral